This 451-nucleotide ribosomal RNA is filed under the name uncultured bacterium. Its description in RNAcentral is "partial 16S ribosomal RNA". It matches the Rfam family "Bacterial small subunit ribosomal RNA", at positions 29 to 523 of the family's 1533-position model. The record is from RNAcentral.
AACGAACGCUGGCGGCAGGCUUAACACAUGCAAGUCGAACGGGUGUAGCAAUACAUCAGUGGCAGACGGGUGAGUAACACGUGGGAACCUUCCUAGGGGUACGGAACAACUCAGGGAAACUUGAGCUAAUACCGUAUACGUCCGUGAGGAGAAAGAUUUAUCGCCCUUAGACGGGCCCGCGUCGGAUUAGCUAGUUGGUGGGGUAACGGCCUACCAAGGCGACGAUCCGUAGCUGAUCUUAGAGGAUGAUCAGCCACACUGGGACUGAGACACGGCCCAGACUCCUACGGGAGGCAGCAGUGGGGAAUCUUGGACAAUGGGCGCAAGCCUGAUCCAGCCAUGCCGCGUGAGUGAAGAAGGUCUUCGGAUUGUAAAGCUCUUUUACCCGGGACGAUAAUGACUGUACCGGGAGAAUAAGCCCCGGCUAACUUCGUGCCAGCCGCUGCAGUAA